CAGUCGCCGCGGUAAUACGUAGGUGGCAAGCGUUGUCCGGAAUUAUUGGGCGUAAAGGGCUCGCAGGCGGUUUCUUAAGUCUGAUGUGAAAGCCCCCGGCUCAACCGGGGAGGGUCAUUGGAAACUGGGAAACUUGAGUGCAGAAGAGGAGAGUGGAAUUCCACGUGUAGCGGUGAAAUGCGUAGAGAUAUGGAGGAACACCAGUGGCGAAGGCGACUCUCUGGUCUGUAACUGACGCUGAGGAGCGAAAGCGUGGGGAGCGAACAGGAUUAGAUACCCCCGUAGUCCCUGUCUCUUAUAC
RNAcentral lists this ribosomal RNA (301 nucleotides) under uncultured bacterium. RNAcentral's name for it is "partial 16S ribosomal RNA". It matches the Rfam family "Bacterial small subunit ribosomal RNA", at positions 509 to 807 of the family's 1533-position model. The record is from RNAcentral.